RNAcentral lists this ribosomal RNA (494 nucleotides) under uncultured bacterium. RNAcentral's name for it is "partial 16S ribosomal RNA". It matches the Rfam family "Bacterial small subunit ribosomal RNA", at positions 28 to 507 of the family's 1533-position model. The record is from RNAcentral.
GACGAACGCUGGCGGCGUGCUUAACACAUGCAAGUCGAACGGUGAAGCGCCUUCCUUUUUGGUGGGUGUGGAUGAGUGGCGAACGGGUGAGUAACACGUGAGUAACCUGCCCCCUUCUUCUGGAUAACCGCAUGAAAGUGUGGCUAAUACGGGAUAUUCUGGGUCUGUCGCAUGAUGGGUCUGGGAAAGAUAUUGUUUCGGUGGGGGAUGGGCUCGCGGCCUAUCAGCUUGUUGGUGGGGUGAUGGCCUACCAAGGCGGUGACGGGUAGCCGGCCUGAGAGGGUGGACGGGCACACUGGGACUGAGACACGGCCCAGACUCCUACGGGAGGCAGCAGUGGGGAAUAUUGCACAAUGGGCGCAAGCCUGAUGCAGCGACGCCGCGUGAGGGAUGGAGGCCUUCGGGUUGUGAACCUCUUUCGCCAGUGAAGCAGGCCUGCCUCGUUUGUGGGCGGGUUGACGGUAGCUGGAGAAGAAGCGCCGGCUAACUACGUG